UGCAAGUCGAACGAUGAAAUCCUCUGCUUGCAGAGGAUGGAUUAGUGGCGAACGGGUGAGUAACACGUGGGUAACCUGCCCAUAAGAGGGGGAUAACAUUCGGAAACGGAUGCUAAUACCGCAUAGGUCUUUGAGACGCCUGUCUCUUAGAUGAAAGGUGGCUUCGGCUGCCGCUUAUGGAUGGACCCGCGGCGUAUUAGCUAGUUGGUGAGGUAAUGGCUCACCAAGGCUGUGAUACGUAGCCGACCUGAGAGGGUGAUCGGCCACACUGGGACUGAGACACGGCCCAGACUCCUACGGGAGGCAGCAGUAGGGAAUCUUCCACAAUGGGUGAAAACCUGAUGGAGCAAUACCGCGUGAGUGAAGAAGGUCUUCGGAUCGUAAAGCUCUGUUGUUAGAGAAGAACAAGUCGGGUAGUAACUGCCCCGACCUUGACGGUAUCUAACCAGAAAGUCACGGCUAACUACGUGCCAGCAGCCGCGGUAAUACGUAGGUGACAAGCGUUGUCCGGAUUUAUUGGGCGUAAAGCGAGCGCAGGCGGUCUUUUAAGUCUGAUGUGAAAGCCCACGGCUCAACCGUGGAGGGUCAUUGGAAACUGGAAGACUUGAAUGCAGAAGAGGAAAGUGGAAUUCCAUGUGUAGCGGUGAAAUGCGUAGAUAUAUGGAGGAACACCAGUGGCGAAGGCGACUUUCUGGUCUGUAAUUGACGCUGAGGCUCGAAAGCGUGGGGAGCGAACAGGAUUAGAUACCCUGGUAGUCCACGCCGUAAACGAUGAGUGCUAAGUGUUGGAGGGUUUCCGCCCUUC
RNAcentral lists this ribosomal RNA (805 nucleotides) under Marinilactibacillus sp. CPA-22. RNAcentral's name for it is "bacterial SSU rRNA". It matches the Rfam family "Bacterial small subunit ribosomal RNA", at positions 56 to 841 of the family's 1533-position model. Lineage: Bacteria; Bacillati; Bacillota; Bacilli; Lactobacillales; Carnobacteriaceae. The record is from RNAcentral.